This 499-nucleotide ribosomal RNA is filed under the name uncultured bacterium. RNAcentral describes it as "partial 16S ribosomal RNA". It matches the Rfam family "Bacterial small subunit ribosomal RNA", at positions 27 to 507 of the family's 1533-position model. The record is from RNAcentral.
GGGGGGGGGGGGGGGGGGGGGGGGGGGGGGGGGGGGGGGGGGGGGGGGGGGGGGGCGUGGGCGGUCGGACGUUCGCGGCGGACGGGGGGGUAGCACGUGGGUAACCUACCUAUAAGACUGGGAUAACUUCGGGGAACCGGCGCUCAUGCCGGCUAAGAUUUACCUUCGCCUGACGCACUAGUGACAGCCGGUUCUGCUGUCACGUAUAGAUGUGCCCGCGGUGUCUUAGCUAGUUGGUGAGGUAACUGCUCACCAAGGCAACGAUCCAUCGCCGACCUGCGAGGGUGAUCGGCCACACUGGGACUGAGACACGGCCCAGACUCCUACGGGAGGCAGCAGUAGGGAAUCUUCCGCAAUGGACGAAAGUCUGACGGAGGAAUGCCGCGUGAGUGAAGAAGGUUUUCGGAUCGUAAAACUCUGUUGUAAGGGAAGAACAAGUACGUUAGUAACUGAACGUACCUUGACGGUACCUUACCAGAAAGCCACGGCUAACUACGUG